RNAcentral lists this unclassified non-coding RNA (250 nucleotides) under plant metagenome. RNAcentral describes it as "partial contains small subunit ribosomal RNA, internal transcribed spacer 1, and 5.8S ribosomal RNA". The record is from RNAcentral.
GUAGGUGAACCUGCGGAAGGAUCAUUAUUGAAUUUUAAUGAGGAGUUUGGUUGUUGCUGGUCCAUUAAUUUUGGGCAAUGUGCACACCUUUCUCUUUCAUCCCAUACACACCUGUGAACCUGUGAGACAGAUGGGGGAAAUUUUACUCUUUGUUCAGAUAAAAAAUGAAUGAGGGUAAUUGGGAACCGUCUGUCUACUUAAUCUAAUAUAAACUCAAUUUAUUUUAAAAUGAAUGUAAUGGAUGUAACAC